CCUACGGGAGACAGCAGUAGGGAAUAUUGCUCAAUGGGGGAAACCCUGAAGCAGCAACGCCGCGUGGAGGAUGAAGGUUUUCGGAUUGGAAACUCCUUUUGUUAGAGAAGAUAAUGACGGUAUCUAACGAAUAAGCACCGGCUAACUCCGUGCCAGCAGCCGCGGUAAUACGGAGGGUGCAAGCGUUACUCGGAAUCACUGGGCGUAAAGAGCGCGUAGACGGGAUAGCAAGUCAGAUGUGAAAUCCUAUGGCUUAACCAUAGAACUGCAUUUGAAACUGUUAUUCUAGAGUAUGGGAGAGGUAGGUGGAAUUCUUGGUGUAGGGGUAAAAUCCGUAGAGAUCAAGAGGAAUACUCAUUGCGAAGGCGACCUGCUAGAACAUAACUGACGCUGAUGCGCGAAAGCGUGGGGAGCAAACAGGAUUAGAUACCCGAGUAGUC
This 440-nucleotide ribosomal RNA is filed under the name uncultured bacterium. Its description in RNAcentral is "partial 16S ribosomal RNA". It matches the Rfam family "Bacterial small subunit ribosomal RNA", at positions 338 to 795 of the family's 1533-position model. The record is from RNAcentral.